UACUUCUCUCUGUGAGUUCUUUUCUGCUAACUCUCGGCCUCUUUCUCUCAAGCAACCUGUGUGGUUUCCUCUUGGACUAUAUUGGUCUCAUCUUGGCCGAUCCUUUGUGGGUAUGAAUAGCAACCGUAGGUGGGAAGAAGAAAAGAGAGAUUUGGGUGUGUCUCACUAGUGGUGGUGUCGACUUUGGUGGAAACUGAGCCCGAUAUCACCUUGGGUAUUGCUGGAUUUUGGUCUCACAUCUGGUAUCAGAGCCAAGGUCAUCUUCGCCAGCAAGGAAUCAACCAUAACUGGCGGCGAGUUUGCAAUUUUCAAAGGGCCGAACCUGCAACUGCUUAUUCUGACCAAAUGUGACCUCCGUUGGACGAACGGAGGCCAGACCAUAACCAACAGGUGGAGGCGCCUCUGGUGGUGAGGUGACCGGCGGCGACGACUGGCGAUGGUACGUGGUUGUCCGGCGACGGUGCAUGGAGGACCUCUUGCGUAGUUUUUUCGUGCCAUUUCAAUUAUUUUAAUUUCCUGAACGUAUUAAUAUGUUUGGUUUAGUGUUUUAGGUUGUGCAGAAAAUUUUUGACGAUUUUGCCCCGAUUACAAUCUACAUUUGUUGCUGAACGAACUGUUAUAUUUGCUAAACCUUUAGGGCGAAUAGUGGUGGCCCUAAUGCAGCAAAUUCGCAUCUCUCCACAUUACGGACUCAAAUAGAUCCGCUCUGAUAAAUUGGCUUAAACCUUUAUAUUUUUGCACUAGCAGAUCAUCGUGUGGGGUGAUCAUUAGGUUUGGAGGUUGCCAUUGCUUGUGCUAGAAUUAGGGUUACGUUUCUUGAUUAUUUGAUUGAGUAUUUGUCUUUUUGUUAAAUCAGUAUUUGAGCCUCAGUGACAUAACUAUCGUGAAACUAAUUAUCUAUUAGACAUAGUUUUUUCUGUUGCAUUGUUAUUUUCACUGCUUAUCCAUUCCAUUAGAAUUACUGUGACCUUACCUGUUUUCAAAUAUUCCUUUGAUCCAAGGCCCCAAGUCUUACGAAACCCUGAGAAUCUUGAACGGCGUAUAUUAUCUGAAACCCUAAGACUACUUUGUAUGGUUUGAUUGUGUUUUUUGUGCUAUCUUUAACUAUUGUGUAAAGAUGACAACUCACAACUUUGAUUUGGGGAUUUUUAAUGGAAAGGGUGAUUUUGCUAUUUGGCAACAAAAAUUGAAGGGCAUUUUAGUCCAACAAAAAGUUUCAAUGGCCAUUGAAAGCAAAUUUUCAACUGAUUUUCCCCAACAACAAAGAGAAGAAGCCGAUGAGCGUGCUUAUACCUCAAUCAUUUUACACUUGUCUGACGUCAUUUUAAGAAAGGUGGUAAACUGAAAACCACUAAAGAACUUUGGAAAAUAUUGGAAGACUUAUAUUUGCUUAAGUCUACAUUGAAUAAACUUGCUCGAACGUUUUUUCAGUUUUAAAAUGGAUCCUUUAAAAGAUCUCGAUGACAAUUUAGACGUGUUUAACAAAUUGAUGCAAGAUAUAGUUAAUUGUGAUGAGACUAUGUCCGAAACUUAUAAGGCUAUAAUUUUGCUCAAUGCUAUUCCUGAUUCCAAUAAGGAAGUUAAGAACGCCAUUAAGUAUGGUAGAGACACGUUGAUACCUGAAAUUGUCAUAGACUCCUUUAAAAGUAAAGAAAUGGAAAUUAGGGCUGAAAAACACGAUAAGAGGAACGGUGAGGUACAUAUGUUGCGGGGUAGAACUCAAUUUAGGCAAAAUAGUCAUGAUUGAUAUCAAAUUAGUGGCGAGUCAAGUGGUAAUGGAUGGAAAAAGAAGAGCAAAGGUAGGUCUAGAUCAAAAUCUAGGACUAAAGCAAGAAAAUGCUAUGGUUGGAGAAACAUGAGGCAUUUUAUAAAGGAUUUUCAUAAGGAGAAGGGUAAUCUAAAGGUUAAGGAGAGAGAUGAGGUAAAUGUGUUAGCAUCUACUUCCGAUAUAAAUGGUGGUGAGGUCUAUAUAAUUACAAGUCCCGUUGCAUAUACUGCUGAAUUAAAUCUAACUGCUAAUUCUCGCAUACAUGAGUGGAUACUUGACUCUGGUGCAUCUUUUCAUGUUACGUCUAAAAAGAAUUAGUUUUAUAAAUUGCAUGAAUCUAAUGUUGCGUAUGUUGUGCUGUGUGAUAACUUUGCCUAUACUAUUGUUGAAAUUGGUGACAUAAACGUAAAAUUUGAUACAGGUUUUGUGUACACGUUAAAGGAUGUUAGAUAUAUUCCCGAAUUGUCUAGAAAUCUGAUUUCAGUAGGGAGACUUGAAAAUCAUUACUUUACUGGUAAAAUUGGAAAUGAUAUGCUAAAAAUGAUCAAGAGUGCUUUAGUUUCCAGUAAGAGAAUUAAGAAAAAUGAUAUAUAUAUAUUACUACUGGGGAGGUGAUUAGAGGUUUGAACUCCUCUAUCUCUUCUGCCAAGAUUGAUCACACACACACAUGGCAUAAUAGACUUGCCCACGUAGGCAUCAAGGGACAUAAGCUACUUAAUGAAAAAGGUGCUUUUGGUAAUGACUGUGUGUCAGAUUUGUCAUUCUGUGAUCAUUGUGUGCUUGGUAAGCAUUAUAAAACUUCUUUCUCCAUGAGUGUCAAUAGAGCUAAAGGUAUGCUUGAAUAUGUGCACUUUGAUCUGUGGGGUCCUGCUAGUAAUCCCACAUUGAGUGGGAAUAGGUAUUUCCUGUCUAUUAUCGAUGACUACACUAGGAAAGUAUGGGUCUAUCUAUUGAAAGAUAAAUCUGAGACCUUUAAUAGUUUUAACAAUUGGAAGAGACAAGUGGAAAACCAAACUGGCAAGAAAAUCAAAUUUUUAAGAACAGAUAACAGCCUAAAAUUCUGCAAUAACGAAUUUGAUAGUAUGUGUAAAGAAAUUGGCAUAACUAGACAUAAGACCGUUCCUUAUACUCCUCAGCAAAAUAGGGUAGCAGAAAGGAUGAAUAGGACCAUACUUGAUAAAGUUCGUUGCAUGAUGUUAAGUUCUGGUGUUCCCAAGUCAUUUUGGGGUGAGGCUGUUAUGACUGAUUGUUAUUUGAUUAACCUGACUUCUGCUGUUGUAUUGAAUGGUGACACUCUACAUGAGAGAUGGUCGGGUAAAUUGAGCGAUUACUCGAUGCUUAGAACUUUUGGCUGUACAAUUCUUUCUCAUCAAAGUGAGGGAAAUAUGGAACCUAGAGCUAGAAAAUGUGUCUUUCUAGGAUACCACGAGGGUGUUAAGGGUUAUAGGUUAUAGGAUAGAAGCCAAAAAGGAGUUAAGAUCACCAUAAGUAAGGAUGUCACGUUUAACAAGAAUGAGAUGCCGUGUAUUAAAGGAAAAACUGAACCUGAGAGUGACACUGAACCAGGUGAAGAGAGAGACCCGUUUAAGGUGGAGUUAAGAAAGCUCAGUACACCUGCCCCUACUGCUCCUAAUGAGGUAGAGAUUUAAGUUCAGGAACCUGAGGUAGAGAAUAAUAACGAAAUAGUGAUAGAAGAGCACUAUAAGGAAGAAAAUCCUUUAGCUAACUACAACUCAAUUAGGGAUAGAGAGAGGAGACAAACGAGAGAACCUAGAAGGUUCGAUUUUAAAUUUGAAUUAGCUUUCGCCCAGGCUAGUUAUGAAGAACUAGCUGAUAAAGAGCCAAAAACCUUUGAAGAGGCAAUAGGCAGUGAUCAAUCUAAUGAAUGGCUUAAGGCAAUGAAAGAAGAUAUGAGUUCUCUAGAAAAAAAAUCAUACUUGGGAGCUAGUACCUAGGCCUAAGAACAAAUCGAUUUUUGAUUGCAAAUGGGCCUUUAAGGUUAAGGAAGGUACUAGUAGCUCGGAACCCUUAAGGUUUAAAGUUAGGUUAGUAGCUAAAGGUUACACACAAAAAGAGGGCAUCGAUUAUAAUGAGAUUUUCUCACCAGUCAUGUUCGCAUUGGUUGCACACUUUGAUUGGGAACUUGAACAACCUGAUAUAAAAAUUGCCUUUUUAUAUGCUGAGUUUGAUGAACAAAUCUUCAUGAAUCAACCAAAAGAUUUUAAGGAUAAGUCAAAACAUGAUUAUGUGUAUUUUCUGAGAAGAUCCUUGUAUGGGUUAAAACAAUCUCCUAGACAGUGGUACAAGAGAUUUGAUUCCUUUGUACUCACUAUAGGGUUCCAAAGAAGUAAAUUUGAUCACUGCUUGUAUUUUCAACACAAUGAGACUGAUGAUAAUUAUUUGUUUUUGUUGCUCUAUGUGGAAGACAUGCUCUUGAUUGGAUCAUUCUCUAAGUGAAUAAAUAACUUAAAAGGAAAACUAAGUGGUGAAUUUGACAUGAAAGACCUAGGUAAGGUUAAGAGAAUCCUAGGUAUGGAAAUAGAAAGAGAUGGGUCAAAUUCCGUUUUGUUUUUGUAUCAGUCUCCAUACAUAUCCAAAGUAUUGAAAAAAUUUAAUAUGAGUGAUUGCAAACCUGUCACAUUACCCCUUGCUAGCCUUUUGUUUUAUCUAAAGAACAAUCUCCUUGCAAUGAGCGUGAAAUAGAAUACAUGAGUAGAGUCCCAUACUCUAAUGUGAUUGGUUCCAUAAUAUAUUUGAUGGCUUGCACUAGACCGGAUUUAGGUUUUGCUGUCAGUGUUGUUAGUAGGUUCAUGGCUAAUCCGGGCCCUGAACAUUGGGAAGCAUUAAAGUGGUUAUUAAGGUACUUGAAAGGUAUGGGUGACGUAGGCCUAAAGUUCAGUGCUAAUAAGGAAGGUGUAAAAUUGAAGGGUUUUGUAGAUGCUGAUUAUGUGGGAGAUAGGGAUGGUAGGAAAUCGACUUCCUCUUACGUGUUUACCCUAUCAAAUUCAUGUGUUAGUUGGAAAUCACAGUUACAACAUAUUGUUGCACUAUCUACCACUAAAUCUGAGUAUAUUGCUACUACUGAAGUAAUUAAAGAGGCCUUAUGGCUUAGAGGUUUACUUCAUGAACUAUGUGUCUUAAAUGAAUAUGUGGUUAUGUAUUCUGAUAGUCAGUCAUCUAUACAUUUAUGUAAGAACCCUAUUUUUUACGAACGCACUAAACACAUUGAUGUUUGACUACACUUUAUUUGAGAUAUUGUAUCUCAAGAGGUGGUAAAACUUGAAAAGUUCACACGCAAUAUAAUCCUUCAAAUAUGGGCACGAAAGUGUUGCCACCGGUAAAGUUUAGAAGUUGUAAGGAUCUUCUAAACAUUAGUAUAGGUAAAUGAUUUUCAAUUUUAUUGGUUUUCUGUUAGAGGUGUCACUAAUGGAAGACAUUUUGUUUUGCAGGUCCUUUGACACCAAGGUGGAGGUUGUUAGGCAAUUUGUUGUCAAACGACCUCUCGGGCAAUUAUGUAAUAUCGGUUUUAUUUAUUAUCAAACGGCCUUGGCCAUAUGAUUGAACUUAUGUUGACACUACUGUCGAGACAACCCAAUCCAAAUUUCUACGGGCCAUUAGAAGCAGCCUAUUUUGAUAGUGUUGCUCGUGGCCCGUCCCAUUUACUUGGAUGGCUACGAUAUUCAUUUGGAGCCCAAUACCUUUGUGUUAAGCCUCUUUUGGACCACUAAGUUAACCUACCCUAACUUACCAUAUAUGGUUGAUAGAGUGAACAAGAUUGCAUUUUUAAUGCUGAUUGCUCAUGAUUAUUUGCUAAUAAACAAGUAUAUUUGGGAUUAAUAAUGAUAUUUUUAUAUAGUUAAAUGAAGGUCAAUCCUAAUUGUGGUGUUUACAAUUUUAUUAUAGAAAAUGGAGUCCAAAAAUAACAAAGUUCAAGGCACAUAAGAGAGAACUCAAUUCAAGUGGACUUAACCCAGCCCAAUCAAAAUAAAAUAGAUUGGAAGAUUAAUGAAGGGAGCAAAAUCUGUGGAAGACGUCUCUUGCUGUGAAGAAAUCUCGAAUACUGCCCUUCGUAUUUUCACCAUAUGUCCCUCAUUCGAUGUCGUAUUAAGCUGAUUCAAGAGGCCUUGGAAAGUUAAUUUAACGUGCUACAAUUUCUCCUGAAAUAGAGAUUUUGAAAUUCUCGCGUUUUCUAAGUGAAAAACGGCCCACAAUCCAAGGCCAAAAAUCUACCGAAUUGAAGAGGCAGAUUCUGGAUUGAUUCUUUCUUUUUCGGGUGAAGAUGGCUUGAAAGAAAAAAAAAAAAAAGUAGAGGACGACCAAGAAGGCUGGGACCAAGGUGGAUCGAUUCUUUUUCUUCCCUUUUGGGGGAAGCCACUCCAAGAAAACAGGAGACCAGAUUCAUUGAGUUUUUCCUUCUUCCCAUCUCUUUCAAUUUCUUAAUGUUAACUCUUUAUUUAAACUUUUCUUCAAUUUUAGCAUGAAUUAAUUUCUAUAUUCUAGAGUUUGAGAUGUAGCCAAACUAUGAUUAUGUGAAUCUUCCUUUACUUGAAUUAAUUGGUAUUUGUUCCAAUUGUUGAGUAUUUCAUCCUGGACUUAAUGCUUGUGAAUUGACCGAUCACCAUUCACUUUGAGACAUAGAAGUAAUAAUUGUUUCAACUAAUGUUUGAGAUAUCACAAGAAUUCUGUAAGAUAGAGAUAUCUACGGACUUGUGUAAUCUUUAUAGGUUUAUUUUUGUUCUUAACGAAUCUUGACAGGCUUAAAAUUUUCACAGAGAUGUAGAAAAUUUUCUUGUUGAGAUAUUUUGUUAAUGCUUGAGAAAGAUUAAUGAAUAAAUUAGAAAAACUUGAUUAUCAACAAUUAGGAACACUCACAAUUAAUUCAAUUAGGAUAUUCACAUAUGAGUAUUUAUGGUGAAUCGAAAACUCUAGAGUAUUGUUUUCUUGAUUUUAACUUGCUUGUUCAAUUCAUCUUAGUUUAAACUUUCUGAUUUAAUAAUUCAUUUACAUUCAAAUUGUCAAAUAGAUCAUCAUUUAAUAAAUUUUGAUAAUUAUUCGUAAUUUUUCAUUCCUCGUCGGACAAUACUCUUACUCAUUCACUUUAUUACUUGUUACGACUCGUGCACUUGCGAUUUCAAUCAACAAGUUUUUGGCGCUGUUGUCGAGGAAUUAGAUAAAAUUAUUGAUAAUAUCAAUACUAGUUAAAUUUGAUCUAAUUUGAUUUUUUUAUUUCCAGGUUUUGCUUAGUGCAAGAGAAGCAAAAAGAGGUUGGAACUGCUACCUUAUGAUCCAGAAAUUGAAAAAACAGCAAAAAGACUGAGGAAAAAGAAGCGAGAAGCUUGAAAAAAUUCAAACACUAUGGCAGACAACGAGAAUCCAAGACGUGACACACAAGCUCUAAGGGAUUUUGCUCUUCCACAGGUCACAGGAAUCAAUUUAGUCAUCAGGAAACCUAGUAUUGCAGGCAACAACUUUGAGAUUAAGCCAGCUAUCAUACAAAUGAUCCAAACAUCAAUUCAAUUCCAUGGAUUUCCGAGUGAUGAUCCCAAUGCCCAUAUAGCAAGUUUUCUGGAAGUUUGUGACACCUUCAAGCAAAAUGGUGUUAUUGAUGAUGCCAUUCGCCUCCGGCUAUUUCCUUUCCCUCUUUGAAAGAGAGCAAAAAGUUGGCUAAAUUCAUUACCUGCAAAUUCAAUCACUAGUAGGGAAGAUUUAGCUCAGAAGUUUCUCGCUAAAUUUUUUCCACCAGCCAAGACAGCAAAGAUGCGCAAUGAAAUUUCAAAAUUUUCUUAAUUCGAGGGUGAAACACUUUACGAGGCUUGGGAGCGAUAUAAAGACCUACUUAGGCGAUGCCCUCACCAUGGAUUGCCGAAGUGGAUUCAAGUUUAGAACUUCUAUAAUGGACUUGUUGCCUCUACAAGAACUCUAAUAGAUGCCGCUUCAGGAGGAGCGUUUAUGGACAAAUCCCUAGACGAUGUAUAUGAUCUGUUGGAGGAGAUGGCGAUGAACAACUAUCAAUGGCCAAAUGAGAGAAUUUUAUCGAAGAAAGCAGUAGGAGUGCAUGAGGUUGAAGCUAUCACUACCUCGACAGCUCAAGUCCAUAAUCUUACUCAACAAUUGAAGGCCAACCAACUGACAGUAAAUGCCAUUCACUUGACACCACCAGCUUGUGAUUUUUGUCAUGGAAACCAUCUGAGUGAAGGAUGUCAAGUGGGAAAUCCCUUCUUUCAAUCCCAAGCAGAGCAAGCACACUUUGUUACAAAUUACAAUCGGUAAAACAAUCCAUAUAGUGCAACAUACAACCCUGGAUGGAAAAAUCACCCCAAUUUUUCAUGGUAUAAUCAAAAUGCAUUGAAACCUCCACCUGGUCCGUCAUCUAGUGAUCCGCCGAAAGAGAAGUCAGCACUUGAAGAAGCAAUGGCACAAUUAGCAACUAACACCAACAAAUUCACAAUAGAGACUAAGACCAAUUUUUAGAAUCAAGCGGCUUCAAUACGGAAUUUAGAAGUCUAGGUCGGUCAAUUGGCUAAUAUGCUAACUGGGAGACAACAAGGAAACUUGCCUAGCAUGACUGAAGUGAAUCCAAAGGAACAGUGCAAGGUGAUCACUUUGAGAAAUAGAAAAGAGUUAGAAGCUCCAAUUACUGUUGAAAAGUUUGAAAAAGAAGAUCAAGAGAUACAACUCCACACACAAACGCUUAGCGAAGAGAUUUCUAACAAUCAACCAAUCCCACCACAGGAUCUAGCACCAAAAGUUCCAUUCCCUCAACGACUCAAAAAGAAUAAGCUUGAUAAGCAAUUUUCUAAAUUUUUAGAUGUGUUUAAAAAAAUUGCAUAUUAACAUUCCUUUUACAGAAGCUCUCGAACAAAUGCCAAGUUAUGUGAAAUUUAUGAAGGACAUCUUGUCAAAUAAGAGGAGAUUGGAAGAAUAUGAGACAGUAGCCCUUACUGAAGAGUGCAGUGCAAUUCUACAAAAGAAAUUGCCUCCAAAGCUCAAGGAUCCAGGGAGUUUUACUAUCCCUUGUUCAAUUGGAAAUUCUAUGUUUGAAAGAGCUUUAUGUGACUUAGGUGCAAGUAUUAAUCUUAUGCCUUUGUCUACUUUUAGAAAACUUGGACUAGGUGAGGCGAGACGUACUACAAUAUCAUUGCAAUUAGCAGAUCGCUCAAUAAAACACCUAAGGGAAAUUAUUAAGGAUGUGCUUGUUAAGGUGGACAAGUUUAUUCUUUCAGCCGACUUCCUCAUUCUAGACAUGGAGGAGGAUAGGGAAAUUCCUAUCAUUCUUGGCAGACCAUUCUUAGCUACUAGUCGAGCUCUAGUUGAUGUCCAAAGGGGAGAAUUGUGGUUGAGAGUACAAAAGGAGGAGGUAACCUUUAAUGUUUUUGAUGCCAUCAAGUAUCCGGAUACAAGUGAGAGUUGUUUCAGCAUCCGAGCAAUCGACUCCUUGGUCACUGAAGUAUUUAACCAACAAAAGGAGUAGUUGGAAGCUUGUUUGGUUAACCCAAUCCGACUAUGGUGGAGGAUCCGGAAGUGUUAGAAUAUGCAUUGUGGAUGGAUUCUUUUGGUCCUAACCACAGAAAAUAUUUUGAAGAUUUGGGACAUGGAACAUCACGGCCCUUUCCAUCUAUUGAGAAACCACCCGCAUUGGAGUUUAAGCCCUUACCUGAACAUCUUCAAUAUGCGUAUCUUGGUGAAUCAUCUACUUUUCCAGUAAUUAUUUCAUCCAAGCUUUCGAUUGAAGAAGAGGAAAAGUUGUUAAGAGUGCUUAGAAAACAUAAGGCAGCUAUUGGAUGGACACUUGCAGAUAUCAAGGGAAUUAGCUUUUCUAUUUGUAUGCACCGAAUUUUGUUGGAGGAAAAUUGCAAGCCAACGGUGGAGCAUCAAAGAAGACUCAAUCUGACAAUGAAGGAAGUGGUGCGUAAAGAGGUCUUAAAAUGGUUAGAUGUCGGAGUGACUUACCCAAUUUCUGAUAACUCAUGGAUCAGUCUUGUGCAAGUAGUACCAAAAAAGAGAGGAAUGACAGUGGUGAAGAAUGCUAACAAUGAGUUGAUCCCUACAAGAAUAGUUACUGGGUGGAGAAUAUGCAUGAAUUAUCGAAAAUUGAACAAAGCCACUUGGAAGGACCACUUCCCCUUGCCAUUCAUUGAUCAAAUGUUGGACAGGCUAGCCGGGCAUGAGUACUAUUGCUUCCUAGAUGGCUAUUCGGGGUAUAAUCAAAUAGCCAGAGCACCAGAGGACCAAGAGAAGACCACCUUCACAUGCCCUUAUGAGACUUUCGCCUUCCGUCGAAUGCCAUUUGGACUUUGCAAUGCGCCAGCCACCUUCCAAAGGUGUAUGAUGUCAAUCUUUUCAGAUAUUGUAGAGCGAAUUAUUGAAAUUUUCAUGGAUGAUUUUUCUGUAUUCGGAUUGUCUUUUGAUGAUUGUCUUGGGAAUUUGGCGUUAGUUUUGAAGAGAUGUGAAGAAACUAACCUUGUACUUAAUUGGGAAAAGUGUCACUUCAUGGUAAAAGAGGGAAUUGUCUUGGGUCAUCGGAUCUCUUCAAAGGGGAUUGAAGUGGAUAGAGCAAAAAUUGAGACAAUCGAGAAGCUUCGACCACCAACAACAAUAAAAGGAGUACGGAGCUUUCUUGGACAUGUCGGAUUUUAUAGAAGAUUUAUUAAAGACUUUUCCAAGAUCUCCAAACCCCUUUGUAGCUUGCUUGUGAAAGAAACACCUUUUGUGUUUGAUGAAGAAUGUGAUAAGGCGUUCUUGCCACUAAAAGAGAAGCUUGUGUUGACUUCGAUUGUUAUAGCUCUGGAUUGGGAUCUACCGUUUGAAUUGAUGUUCAAUGCAAGUGACUAUGCUGUUGGUGCAGUAUUGGGCAGCGAAGGAACAAAUGGUUUCAUAUCAAUUAUUAUGCUAGUAGAAUUCUUAAUGAUGCCCAACUCAACUAUGCCACAACUGAGAAGGAACUUUUUGCUAUAGUCUUUGCUUUUGACAAGUUUUGACCAUAUCUCAUUGGGAAUAAGGUGAUAGUCUACACUGAUCAUUCGGCAAUUUAAGACCUUAUCAUGAAGAAGGAAGCCAAGCCAAGACUCGUCCGUUGGGUUCUCUUGCUGCAAGAAUUUGAUAUUAAGAUUAAAGACAGGAAGGGAACUGAAAAUAUGGUGGCAGAUUAUCUCUCACGGCUAGAGUCACAGGAGCAACUUGAGUCCCAACAACUGCCCAUAGAUGAUAAAUUCCCGGAUGAGCAACUUUUAGCUAUUUCUUCUAACAAUCAUUUACUAUGGUAUGCAGAUUAUGUCAAUUUUCUUGCAGGAAAAAUCAUUCCCUCCGACUUUUCUUAUCAACAAAAGAAGAAACUUCUGUCGGAAGUAAAGCAUUACUAUUGGGAAGAACCAACACUCUACAGGCAUUGUGUGGACCAAAUAAUCAAGCGAUGUGUUUCGGAAGAGGAGAUGACAGAUAUUUUGAUGCAUUGCCAUACACUAGAAUGUGGAGGGCAUUUCGGACCUCAUCGGACAGCAGCUAAAGUUCUCCAAUCCGAAUUUUAUUGGCCAACAUUGUUCAAGGAUUCUCAUACUUUUAUUGCCUCUUGUGAUAGAUGUCAACGCUCCGGGAACAUAUCUAAAAGAAAUGAAAUGCCUUUGCAGAAUAUUCUAGAGGUGGAGUUGGUUGACGUUUGGGGUAUUGACGUCGUGGGACCCUUUCCUUCAUCCUACAACAACAAAUGCAUUCUUCUAGCAGUAGAUUAUGUAUCUAAAUGGGUAGAGGCAAUCACAACUCCUACUCAUGAUGGAAAAGUGGUGCAGAAUUUUCUCCAAAAGAAUAUUUUUUCCAGAUUUGGGACUCCUAGGGCCAUUAUUAGCGAUGAAGGGACUCACUUUUGUAACAAGCAGUUUGAAGCUCUAUUAUUAAAAUAUGGAGUUAGACAUCGAAGAGCAUUGGCUUAUCACCCUCAGACAAAUGGACAAGCGGAGAUAUCAAAUAGGGAGGUGAAGCAAAUUCUAGAGAAAACAGUUAACAAUUCUCGAAAAGACUGGGCUAAAAAGCUAGAUGAUACGCUGUGGGCUUAUUGGACAGCAUACAAAACUCCUUUGGGAAUGUCUCCUUAUCGGUUAGUCUAUGAAAAAGCAUGUCACCUUUCUGUAGAGCUCGACACGAAGCUUAUUGGGCGAUGAAGCAACUAAACAUGGAUCUUCAAGCAGCUGGUGAAAAGCGUUGUUUGCAAAUUAAUGAGAUGGACGAGUUUCGUAAUGAAGCUUAUGAGAAUCCAAGGAUUUACAAGGAACGGACCAAGGCUUGGCAUGAUAAGCACAUCUCAAAGAAAGAGUUUCUACCUGGACAACAAGUUUUACUUUACAAUUCAAUGCUUCGUCUUUUUCCAGGAAAGCUCAAAUCUCUAUGGUCAGGCCCAUUCACAGUUGUUAAAGUUUUUUCCCCAUAGAGCAGUGAAAAUUACUCAUGAUGAGAAGGGGACAUUUAAAGUGAAUGGACAACGGUUGAAACCUUAUUUAAGUGGAGAAUUUGACAACAAAAAGACCACCUUUCUUCUUGAUCCAGCCUAGAAGAAGAGCAACAGUCAAGCUAUUGACUAUAACUAAGCGCUUCUUGGGAGGCAACACAAUCAUUCAAACCUCUGUUUUGCUUUUUUUUUUUUUUUUAUUCCCUUGCAAUUUGUUUAGUUUUCUAUAUUCUUCUUUUCGUUAAUUACUUUGUGUGUUUUCUAAUUUCAAUUUAUUUAUUUAUUUUGGGUGUGGCAGUAACACGGUUCUCCACCUUCUUGCUCCAGUACUUGAAUGCAUUGAUGAGGAUGCCAAGAGAGAUGAAGCUUGAUCCAUCGCCACCAAUGAACAGGGAAGUUUCUUCUUAUCAUUUUUUCCCUUUCUUUGUUCCACAUUGAGGACAAUGUUAGGUUUUAGUCGGGGGGUGUUGAGCAUGAAUAUAUGCAUUCCUGUUUGCAUGAAUUCAGAUUUGGUAUCAAGAAUGCAUUCCAAUUUACAUGAAUUCAGCUUUGGUAUUUUGGCUUGAUUACAAUGUAUUUUUGCUUGAGUCAAUAGUGCUAUCUGAGUAAGAUAUUAAAACACCUCAGAAAUUUUUUCUUUUCAUACACGUAAACUAAGCUCAUGUGGUUUGAUGGAUGUGGAACUCAUACAAUUAGAGAACACUCAAAUUAAAGUUGCAACCUUUUACACUUGUGAGCAAUUGGGCCAUUCUCACUUUUCUGAGAGAUGUUAUCAUAUUCUUAAUAUUACCUUCAACAUUGUCUCAUUACAAGAUCUCAUUAUUCCCCAAAUUUGGUUGAUUAAUGGGAAUGCCAUUACACGGUUUGUGGUAUGUUGGUUUGAUUAUACUCAGGAAAUGAUGAAGAUCAAUUUAGAAUGUAGUUUAAGCCUUUCAAGCCGACCAAUGUCUCAUUGAAUAGAAGUCACUUUGAGCUAAAAUCUCAUCAGUCUUUGUUAAGCCAUUUAUUUCCUCACCCACUCCACAUUGUAGGUUGAGCCUAAGUUGAACAUCUCCUUUGCCUUCAAAUAUCAAGUAUGUAGUAUAGAUUAUGGAAUAUGCUGUUGAAAAAAAAAAUUUCAGAAAUGAAUGAAGAAAGGGUAUGAAAAAUAUUUUAAAGCAAGGUGUGUUGUUGCGAAAAUCCCAAAAAAUAAAAUAAAAUAAAAUUUUACCAUUGUACACAAUUACAGUCGCAUACUUGAUCAAAUGUCUCACACGUGGGGCCCCCUUGGUGGAAAAAUGGGCACCAGACAGCCCUUAAGUCUACAAGUUGAUGAAGAUCCUCAGUAUAUACUUGAGAAUUAAUAUUUUUCUUCAAUCUUCUUAUCCUUCCUUUCAAUUUGACCCCAGUCAUAUUACAACCCUUUAUUGACCUUUUGAUCCUAAGUGGGUUAGUGGUUAGAAUGGUUGAGUUCCCAUUAGUUGGCAUCCUCUCAUGAGAUCAAUUUUGUUAUUUCACUCUUUUGCUCCUAUUUCACUCAUUUGCCCGCAGACAAUUAUUAUUCCUUCCAUAUAUUUGAGAGGCAAUUUUUUUCAACCUUCAUUACCUCUGUUGGCAAUAGAUUUUUUUUUUUUUAUGGCUGAAUAUUACACUUAAUAUUUGCAAAAAUAACUUUUGUCUGGGAUGUUCUCGACACUGUAUGAGUUUUGGUUUGAUGGAAAGAUGGUGAAGAGCUUAACACACACACACACACACGAGUUCUAGGAGUGUGCUUUGACAGACAAACUUUGAGAGCAUUGUUGAUCUCUGGUGAAUGCUUUGUUUGAUGUGCCUGAAUAUUUUUGCUUAAUUCGUGUAAAAGGAUUUUCACUUGGGAUAGGUAGCAAUACUCUUUCUUCGCUUGAAUUGCUAGGGACUAGCAAGAUGCUAAUUGGGGGGUGUGAUAGAGUGAAUAAGAUUGCAUUUUUAAUGCUGGUUGCUCAUGAUUAUUUGCUAAUAUACAAGUAUAUUUGGGAUUAAUAAUGAUAUUUUUAUAUAGUUGAAUGAAGGUCAAUCCUAAUUGUGGUGUUUACAAUUGGGAACAUCACACAAAUCCUAUAUUUAAAAAUCACAUUUCACAACUAACAAACAUCUAAAAAUCUUUCAAAAAUAAGGUGAUAAUUAAAUUUAUUAAAUAUUUAAUUAUAAUAUAAUUAAUCUACUCUCUCUCCCACCCCAACCCAAAUAACCUAUCAUACUAAAUUUUAAAUUCAAACAAUUCUCUAUCUCUCUCUCUCUCUCAACCCAACCUCAACUUCGGCAACCCACCUUACCUCCGGCAACCUGCUCCAAUGAGAAUUUCGGCGAUCGCUCCAGCCAGAAUUCCGGCAACCCGCCUCACCUCCAGCAAGAAUUCCUGCGAUCGCUCCGGCGACAAAUUCUUCACCGGAAAAUAUUCCGGCAACGACUUAGGCGAUCGUUCCAACAAAUGACACUGCACAUUUUUUCAAUUUUUUUUGAUAAAUGACUUUUGACCAAUUUCAUUGGAUUUGUGACAUGUACAUAUUGUGACCUGUGACCAAUUCUAUUAAAUCUGUGACCUAAUCAUGCAGGACGAAUAUUACAUAUGAUCAAUUUCAAAAUUAAGAAAAUAAAGUUUGAAAUUUCAAAAAUCAUACUAUUAAAAUUUUCAACAAAUUAUUCCAGCGGCCUUCGGCAACUACCUUUUUUCCCCCUUCUUCUCUUCUUCUUUUGUUUUUUUGGAAAUGAUCUGUAACUAACUUUAUUGACUUUGUGACCUAAUCAGGUGGGAUGAAUAUGCAUAUAACAAAACCUGUGUUGCAUGUGAUCAAAAUUUUUUACGACAAGAUCUAUAUUAUAUGUAACUAAUUGUGACCAAACUUAUAUUCGGUGUGAUUGUUUAAUUUAUAAUCGUAUAUAACCAAGUCACUAUUUGUGUAAUUUGUGACUAACUGUGACCAACUUUGUUUUCAGUGUGACUAUCUGUGACCGUCUAAUUUAUGAUUGUCUAUAACCAAGUCACAAACAUAUAUUAGCUGUGAUUAACUGUGACCAAAUUUAUCCUUAUUGUGACUAAAUGUGAUCAAAUUUGUAUUCAGUGUGUCUGUCUGUGACCAGGUCAACCUUUUAACUGUGACGAAAUGUGAUCAAGUCACAAUCAGUUACAAUCAACAUAAAAUUGGUCACAAUCAGUCACAAAUCACAAAUUUUUUAGGUUGAAACUUUUUUAUCGAUCAAAAUUAUUAAAUUAAUUGAUCACCACUUUUUUGGUCACAAAUCACACAUUUUAUAGGCCAAAACUUAUGUAUCAUCACUCAUCAGUCACAAAUUCUCAAAUUUAUUGGUCACAACUUCUUGUCAGUCGUCAAUUUUCAAAUUAAUUAAGUCGAACCAUUUCCUAUCCAAUAGAAAUAAAAAUCCACAAAAUAGAGAAUUUCGAAACGAAAACACAAUCUGUUCCCUUUCUCUCUUUCUUCUCCGCCGACAUAUCAACGAUUAGCCGUCACUCCACGGUGGCUUCACCUCACACAUUUCUUGAAAUCCGUUGCUUAUAAACAUUUAUAUCAACGAUCUGUCAUCCCUUCUCUCUGUCUUCUCCGUCGACUUUUCUUACUUUAUUGCCUAAUGAUGUUUGAAUUCCUCAUAUUAAAUUAAAAAGAAAAUGAAACAAGCAAAAGAAAGAGAUCUAAUAUAUUCACCAAUAAAAACAAAAAUCAGAUCAACAAUGAAAAAUAGCAAAAAAAUAAUAUUGGUAUAAACUAUUUUUUUGUGUGUUUCAGAAAGAGAGGUAGAAAAUGGGUAAGUAUAAAUCUCGAGGAGGUGGGCUAGGGGGAAUCAAGGGAGAGAUGACAGAAAAGUUGGUCCAUGUGCUUGGAGUCCUUGCACCGUGACGCCCAGAAAUGUAGAAUGAUUGGAGAGCCCUUCCUUGUGGUUUGAUCAAGCUCAGCCUUUGAUUUCACCUCCUUCAACGCUCCUUCUCCAUCGCUUGCCAUUUUUUCUAUGAGAUUCUACUAGCUUUUGCUACUCCAAGCGAAAUAGCAGAGUAAUGUAGGGAGAGAAGAUGAUUAGGGUUUCACCACCUCCCCAAUUUUUUCGAGCCCUUCAACAGCUCCGAUCGUGAUUGGAGAUCCAAACCAUAGCUGUGAGGUGACGAUUAGCCUUGCUAUGUCUUCAGGCGGAGUUGUCGUCAGCGAUCUCACGAUGACAUCGCGGUGGAUGUGCUCGUCGGAGUCAGGGGAUUAGAAAAUAGAGAGAGAGAGGGAACAAGAGACAGAUUUAUGGUGUUAUGUAUAUAUUUAUUUAACAUAACAUUAAUUUAAUAAUUUUUAUUUCUCACCUGAAUUAUGAAAUUAAUCUUAAUCCCCUUUAUUUAUGAAAUCUAGUUUUUAAACCCAGGUUACUGGGUAAUUUUCCCUUUACAAUUUUAUUGUAGAAAAUGGAGCCCAAAAAUAACAAAUUUCAAGGCCCAUAAGAGAGGACUCAAUUCAAGUGCACUUAACCCAGCCCAAUCAAAAUAAAAUAGAUUGGAAAGAUUAAUGAAGGGAGCAAAAUCUGUGGAAGACGUCUCUUGCUAUGAAGAAAUCCCGAAUUGGAAACACAUUUGUACUGCCCUUCGUAAUAUCACCAUAUCUCUCUCAUCCGAUGUCGUAUUGAGCUGAUUCAAGAGGCCUUGGAAAGGUAAUUUAACGUGCUACAAUUUCUCCUGAAAUAGAGAUUUUGAAAUUCUCACGUUUUCUAAGUGAAAAAGGGCCCAAAAUCCAAGGCUAAAAAUCUGCCGAAUUGAAGAGGCGAAUUCGGGAUUGAUUCUUUCUUUUCCUGGUGAAGAUGGCUUGAAAGGAGUGGAAGAGGAGGAAAAAAGCAGAGGAUGACCAAGAAGGCUGGGACCAAGGUGGAACGAUUCUUUUCCUUCCCUUUUGGCUAUCAAAAGAGGGAAGCCAUUCCAAGAAAAUGGGAGACCAGAUUCACUGAGUUUUUCUUUCUUCCCAUCUCUUUCAAUUUCUUGAUGUUAACUCUAUAUUUAAACUUUUCUUCAAUUUUAGCAUGAAUUAAUUUCUAUCUUCUAGAGUUUGAGAUGUAGCCUAACUACGAUUAUGUGAAUCUUCAUUUACUUGAAUUAAUUCGUAAAUCAUCCUUUACUUGAAUUAAUUGGUAUUUGUUCCAAUUGUUGAGUAUUUCAUUCUGGACUUAAUGCUUGUGAAUUGACUAAUCACCAUUCACUUGAGUUGGGAUUCAAUUUGAGACAGAGAAGUAAUAAUUGUUUCAGCCAAUGUUUGAGAUACCAUAGGAAUUUUGUAGGAUAGAGAUAUCUAUGGACUUGUGUAAUUUUUAUGGGUUUAUUUUUGUUCUUAAUGAAUCUUGACAGACUUAGAAUUUUCACAGAUAUGUAGAAAAUUUUCUUGUUGAGACAUUUUGUUAAUGCUUGAGAACAAUUAAUGAAUAAAUUAGAAAGACUUGAUUAUCAACAAUUAGGAACACUCACAAUUAAUUCGAUUAGGAUAUUCACAUAUGAGUAUUUAUGGUGAAUCGAAAACUCUAGAGUAUCAUUCCUCGUGGGAUGAUACUCUUACUCAUUCACUUUAUUACUUGUUACGACUUGUGCACUUGCGAUUUCAACCAACAAUGGUCACACCUUUGGGCUAUAAUUCUUGGCUCCCUUCACGCCUCCAAAAGAGUGGUCUUCUUUACUUCUCUUUGUGAGUUUUUCUCUGCUAACUCUCUGCCUCUUUCUCUCAAGCAACCUGUGUGGUUUUCUCUUGGACUAUAUUGAUCUCAUCUUGGCCGAUCCUUUGUGGGUAUGAAUAGCAACCGUAGGUGGAAAGAAGAAAAGAGAGAUUUGGGUGUGUCUCAAUAGUGGUGGUGUCGACUUUGGUGGAAACUGAGCCCGGUAUCACCUUGGGUAUUGCUGGAUUUUGAUAUUUUAUCUUAAAAGUAUUGCAAAUUUGCAAUGAGGAUGAAGAGAUAAUCUGAUUCUUUUGUGUUGUUUACUCAAGAUUCCUUUAUUAUUUUAGAGUUCAUUUAUUAUACUAAUGAUUGAUACCAACUACUGCAUUCACCAAACGGGAAAUGGUAUUCUGAUCCCUGGAGUAAUUUUGACGACUGUACAUGUAAUAAUGGAAUUAUAAUCUAUUUUUAUAUGCAGC
RNAcentral lists this long non-coding RNA (18322 nucleotides) under Olea europaea (common olive). RNAcentral describes it as "long non-coding RNA (OEUR_LNC015233)". The record is from RNAcentral. Lineage: Eukaryota; Viridiplantae; Streptophyta; Magnoliopsida; Lamiales; Oleaceae.